CGUUAGGUACUGCGGUAGGACAUUA
This 25-nucleotide ribosomal RNA is filed under the name Leptosphaerulina sp. Fanqin10. RNAcentral describes it as "partial 18S ribosomal RNA". The record is from RNAcentral. Lineage: Eukaryota; Fungi; Ascomycota; Dothideomycetes; Pleosporales; Didymellaceae.